This 629-nucleotide ribosomal RNA is filed under the name uncultured Leccinum. RNAcentral describes it as "eukaryotic LSU rRNA". The stretch from base 192 to 346 matches the Rfam family "5.8S ribosomal RNA". Lineage: Eukaryota; Fungi; Basidiomycota; Agaricomycetes; Boletales; Boletaceae. The record is from RNAcentral.
CCUGUAGGUGACUGCGGAGGACAUUAUUGAUUCUGAGGGGGAAAGGACUGUCGCUGGCUUUGAGCAUGUGCACGUCCGAUCUCUUUCUUUCAUUACACACCUGUGCACCUGUUGUAGAUUCUUCGAAAGAGGAUCUAUGUUCUUUUUUACACCAACAACACCUAUUGCAUGUCUAGAGAAUGUAUCUAUACAACUUUCAGCAACGGAUCUCUUGGCUCUCGCAUCGAUGAAGAACGCAGCGAAUUGCGAUAAGUAAUGUGAAUUGCAGAUUUUCAGUGAAUCAUCGAAUCUUUGAACGCACCUUGCGCUCCUUGGUAUUCCGAGGAGCAUGCCUGUUUGAGUGUCAUUGAAUUUCUCAACUAUGUCUUGAUUUUCAAGACAUGGCUUGGAGUUGGGGGUUGCUGGCAGCGAAAAGCAGUCGGCUCCCCUGAAAUGCAUUAGCAGAGGGACGAGCAUGUGACGUGCACGGCCUUCGACGUGAUAAUGAUCGUCGUGGGCUGGAGCGUUGUUGGACAUGCAUGAAUCGUUCUUGCUUCCAACUGUGUGGUACUAUCCACGUUCUUUGAAACUUGACCUCAAAUCAGGUAGGACUACCCGCUGAACUUAAGCAUAUCAAUAAGCCGAAGGAA